Molecule: long non-coding RNA, 537 nt
Organism: Rhododendron vialii
Lineage: Eukaryota; Viridiplantae; Streptophyta; Magnoliopsida; Ericales; Ericaceae
Exons: 2
Source: RefSeq, a predicted model, not a curated record
AUCUCAGGCAUCCUCCACCGUCGCCGCGUCACUGCCUCUGUCUUCAUUCGCAGCAGAAGAAUUAAUGCUCCUAAUGUCGGUGCCAGUGUCUUCGGGCACCGGAGGAGAGGCAGGGCCGUGGAUGCUGAUCAUAAGGUGCUCCGCCGUGGCAGAUUCCAGUAGAGUUACAAAGAGGGCGUCCAUGGCCGUCGGGUAUGCAACGGAGAAUGAGAAUAUGGUGGAAAAUUAAGUUUCGCUUACGGAUUGCGUAGCCUCCCAUCUCGCCGACCGAUGCGGUGACACCGAUUCGAUGUGGCAACAGAUGAUCAUCGUCGCCCGGCUUGCACUUGUUGGAUCCGACUCUACUUGCUGCCGGUGAAGACGGACUCAUCGGAGAAGUUGACGGCGAUGCUAAUCUGGCAGAGAGUGAGGGCUUCGACUUGGCUUAGGGAUAUAAAUGUCAUUAUGCAGCAUAACCAAGCCUAUAUAGGUUUGGAAAAAUAUUUUAGGGUGGGGAUGAAAACGAACCUAAAAAGCAGGGAUAGCCUCUAAUUUUCU